GAGCGUCAUUACACCCCUCAAGCCUGGCUUGGUCUUGGCGCCGCGGCUUAGCUCGCGAGCUUCAUAUGUCCGGCCGUCGCCGUCCGCCCCAAAGCGUUGUGGCAAACAAUCCGCUUCCGGGGUCGGUUCGGGCAACGCGCCGUUAAACCCCUAUAUCACAGGUUGACCUCGGAUCGGGUAGGGAUACCCGCUGAACUUAA
RNAcentral lists this unclassified non-coding RNA (200 nucleotides) under soil metagenome. Its description in RNAcentral is "partial contains internal transcribed spacer 2 and large subunit ribosomal RNA". The record is from RNAcentral.